UGGUUCAUUAGUGAUUAGUGUUAGUGGUUGGUUAGCAGUGAGUAGUUAGCGUUAAUGUUAGAUGGUGGUUAGUUAGCCAUUAGUGUCAGCAGUGAGUGUACGGUAUUGGCAGUGGGCAGAAGCAGCUCACUCUGUGAACUGUCCAUCCCUCGCCUAGAGGUUUCACAAUGACUGCCACGUUCACCACUUGUUCCCUUUUAGUUUCAACUGGAGCCUCAAAUUCCUAUCACUUCUCUUGUCUCUUCCAUGACAGGGAUUCGCAGACUGGGCCUACAAUGCAGGUUCCUGGGCAGAUCCUUUGACUGGCAAGCUCUUCCUCAUCUGAACCCGGGUGGCAGUCUAACUGCAGCCAAGAGCCCUGGCUGGGCCGGCGGUGCUGCCUGCCGGAGCUGGUGCUGGAGAUGGACGCAGGACCCCCGCGGCCUGACUAGGGCCCAGCAAGCAGAAGGGGCUGAUGGAGAAAGGGCUGCUGGUCUGGACAGCCUAGGGACUUCCAUGGCAUUCCUGCGAGGACUCUGGGUCUGCCCAGCCACACAUUUAUCCAUGUGCUGAGUGUCCACUGAGUACCUGGGGAACAGGCACCUUGCUAGAGUCUGAAAAUACAGCUACAAGCAACUCCCAAAUGUUCCCCUAUGCAAGGGGCUUAGGGUCUGGUUGGCAAUGGCCAAUUUUACAUGUCAAUAUGAUUUGGCCACAGGAUGCUCUGGUAUUGGAUUAGUGAUUGUUUGUGGGAGUGUCUGUGGCGGCGUUUCUGGAAGGGCUUAACAUUUGAAUUGGCAGACUGAGUAAAGUGAUGGCCCUACCCAGUGAGCAGGCACCAGCCAACCCUUGAAAGUCUGAAUAGAAAAAAAAAAAAAAGGGCAGAGGAAGUUGAGCUUGAGCUUUCUCUGCCUGGCUGUUGAGCUGGAACAUCUAUCUUCUGCCCUCCAGGAUCCUGGUUCUUAGGCCUUCGAAUAUACCACCUGCCCUCUGGGGUCUCUGGCUUGCAGAGGGCAGAUUGACUUAUCAGCCUCCCUAACUGCAUGGGCCAAUGCCAUACAAUAAAGCUCUU
Molecule: non-coding RNA, 1051 nt
Organism: Chlorocebus sabaeus (green monkey)
Lineage: Eukaryota; Metazoa; Chordata; Mammalia; Primates; Cercopithecidae
Source: RefSeq, a predicted model, not a curated record